GAUGAACGCUGGCGGCGUGCCUAAUACAUGCAAGUCGAGCGAACGGACGAGAAGCUUGCUUCUCUGAUGUUAGCGGCGGACGGGUGAGUAACACGUGGAUAACCUACCUAUAAGACUGGGAUAACUUCGGGAAACCGGAGCUAAUACCGGAUAAUAUUUUGAACCGCAUGGUUCAAAAGUGAAAGACGGUCUUGCUGUCACUUAUAGAUGGAUCCGCGCUGCAUUAGCUAGUUGGUAAGGUAACGGCUUACCAAGGCAACGAUGCAUAGCCGACCUGAGAGGGUGAUAGGCCACACUGGAACUGAGACACGGUCCAGACUCCUACGGGAGGCAGCAGUAGGGAAUCUUCCGCAAUGGGCGAAAGCCUGACGGAGCAACGCCGCGUGAGUGAUGAAGGUCUUCGGAUCGUAAAACUCUGUUAUUAGGGAAGAACAUAUGUGUAAGUAACUGUGCACAUCUUGACGGUACAUAAUCAGAAAGCCACGGCUAACUACGUG
This 497-nucleotide ribosomal RNA is filed under the name uncultured bacterium. Its description in RNAcentral is "partial 16S ribosomal RNA". It matches the Rfam family "Bacterial small subunit ribosomal RNA", at positions 28 to 507 of the family's 1533-position model. The record is from RNAcentral.